AUGAAGAACGCAGCGAAAUGCGAUACUUGGUGUGAAUUGCAGAAUCCCGUGAACCAUCGAGUCUUUGAACGCAAGUUGCGCCCCAAGCCUUAGGGCCGAGGGCACGUCUGCCUGGGUGUCACGCAUCGUAGCCC
Molecule: ribosomal RNA, 134 nt
Filed under: Pimelea imbricata var. petraea
Lineage: Eukaryota; Viridiplantae; Streptophyta; Magnoliopsida; Malvales; Thymelaeaceae
Description: partial 5.8S ribosomal RNA
Rfam family: 5.8S ribosomal RNA
About the family: 5.8S ribosomal RNA (5.8S rRNA) is a component of the large subunit of the eukaryotic ribosome.
Source: RNAcentral